CUAAUUUUAAUCGUUCCAUAAAUUUUGUUAUAUCUAAUUAAAUGGGUACAUUUGCAGCUGUCCUUACCUAUUCUCAGCUAAAAUGAUAUAAUUAAAAUAACAUUUUGUCUCUUUGAGGGACAGGGGAGUUGAAGUUGUCCUUCCACUUUAUGAGGUUCAGAAUCUAACUUAAUGAAGUCUAUGUGGAAAUGAAUGGGAUUUUUGAAAGUGUGCAAUGAUUCAGUACAUCUGGGAGACAUGUACAUAGAUGCAGGCAGAGGACUACCAAAUCUUACCUCGAAUCUAGUGGGAAACAUCCACAUAUAGCAAUUCAAUUAGUGGGGCUCACCCUAAGAAAAAUUAAUUAAUUAGGUUUUUUUAUUUGGCAUGGCUGUCACUUAGAUAUUUUAAACAAUGUUUUAAGAAAAAAAAAAGCAAAAGCUCUUUUGAGUAGAUGGGUGGAACAUAGCCUGUAGUUUUAGAUAGAAGGUGGAAAAUCAUGAAGAAAUUUGUGUGAGUUUAUGUAUUUAUAUCCAAUACCUUAGCUCUUAAAAAAAAUGAACUUUGGUAUAGAGGUGUAUUCUAACUCCAAAAAGUAAAUUCAUUCUGCUGAAUUAUAAAUCAAUGUAAUAGUAUUUCUAGAUCUUAAAAGAAGCCAAUUAAGAGAGUGAUAAUAUGUAAUCAUGUUGGUUUCUAUAAUUUUUUUAAAUUCUUAUUUAUUCUUGAGACAGAGACAGAGCAUGAACAGGGGAGGGGCAGAAGGAGAGGGAGACACAGAAUCUGAAACAGGCUUCAGGCUCUGAGCUGUCAGCACAGAGCCUUAUAUGGGGCUAGAACCCACAAACUGUGAGAUCAUGACCUGAGCCGAAGUUGGAUGCUUAACUGACUGAGCCACCCAGGCACCCCAAAUUGUGUUGGUUUCUGAUGGAAGUCAUAGAGCACUCUGUUCCUCCCCUACAGUCAUGCUAUACUGGGUAAGAGCACAUGCUGUGACGUCAUAAAGACCUGGCUAUGAAUAUUCCAACACUGAUUAACUGUGAAACCUUCAGGAAACUCAUUAGUAACUAUGAAUCUUCUAACUUCUAAUUUGUAAUAUGAAGAAAAGAAACACACUACAUAACAUGCCAUAUGGAUGAAAUGAAAUGUAGGAAAAAAUAGUUUGAUACAAUACCUGGCACAAAAUCAAUGUUCAGUGGUAAUGGUGAGAAGAAAAAGAUGAUACAGCUCAUUCAAAGUUGAAGAAAAUAAGUUUAUGAGGAUCCUAUCGCUGCUCAAAAAUGAAAACAGGAUUUGAAUCUAGGCCUCCUCUUUCCAGAUUCUUCAUUCAUAACCAUGAAUCAUAAAAAAAAAAACUUCAUCAUGCACAAAUUAUAUUUAAAUAUUUGAAUUUUCUUCUGAUACAUGUUAUUUUUUUUCACUCAUGUUAAAUUAAGAAAAAAAAUUUAAAAACCACCUUUAUGAAAACCAAAAAUAAAUGCUCACUCACAGAGAAUGGAAAACACAGAUUCAGAACCAUGAGCCUUCUUUAAUGAGAAAUGGAGACGAAUCUGUUUCGUGAGUCUUGGACACUUUGGACAGAGCAAAGAUGUUAAAAGCGGACAGAGAAGAGAGGAGAUCGGUGAAAUUGUUUCCUUUGAGAGAACCCUUACAGAUCAUUGGGUACCCUUUCCCUAGCCUUUCUGGGGAAGGUGAAAGAAUGAUACCUUCUGGUGCUAGUUUAGUGAUGUGGGCUUCAAUGGGAUCACUCAGUUAUGAAAUUUGUUUCGUGAAGUUGGCACAUAGAAAAGAUUGGUGUCUGUUCACGUCUGAGAAAGCUAAAGUCGAAAUCACACAGGAAUAAGCUAAAACUGACAUCUGUUGAGGAAAUUCAGAGGGUGAGAGAAGAGAGAGCUUCUGUGUUGAAAUAAGCCUGCUUUUUGAGCUUCUCAGAGCAAAACUUUUUUUCUGGUUGAUCAAGGAAGAUCAUGGGUGUUGGAGAUUUAAAACAGUGCCAUUUGGAGACCUUUCCAAGUAGGUACCUGAGGAGUAAAAAAAACAACCUCAGCAGAAGAAGGCUGGGGAUAUCAAGUGGCUGGUGACCAAGUCCAGUAAGUGUCCCUUUAGAUGCACCCCCUGGGAGAAGAAAUUGCAGAAGUGAGAGGCCCAGUUGGAAUCACUGAAAAAGCCCUAGGACUGCCCAUGACAGAGUCAGCCUGAAAAUCAGGACCAGUGAGCAUGUAGCCAGUUUAGGACUGAGGUCAAGACCAAUCCCUUUACCUCUUCUGUGCUCUACUUCUGUUUGAUCUUACCAAAAGCGAAAACAGCAGCAAAUAAGGAGUUUAGAAGAAAGAGAAAAUACAAGAAGGAGAGACAUCAGCUAAUUUCAACCCUGUCCAUUGAACCUGGCUACUAAGUGCUAGUAUGGGAGAGAGGGAAGAACUUAAUAUUCAGUUACAUUUAGUAAUUUGAUUAAUAGCUGAGGCUUGGUAUAUUAAUUAUAGAAUUGAAACUGUGUCUGAUGUGAAUUGAAACUGUGUCUUAUGGCUGAAUUUUAUCCUUCCAAAAUUCAUAUGUUGAAGUCCUAAACCCCAGCGCCUCAGGAUGUGACUGUGUUUAGGGAUAAAUUCUUUAAAGAGGUGGUUAAGUUAAAAUGAGUACUUAAGGAUGGACCCUAAUCCAAUAUAGCUGAUAACCUUACAAGGAGACAAAUUUUUGACACGGAGAGACAAAUACCAGGCAGGAGUGUGCAUGGAGGAAAGGCCGUGUGCGAACACAGCAAGAAGGUGACCAUCUAUCUGCAAGCCACGGAGGGAAGCAUCAGAAGACGUCAAACCUACCUACAUCUUGAUCUUAGAACUUCCAGACUCCAGAACUGUGACAAACAAAUUUCUGUCACGUAAGCCAUUUUGUUAUGACAACCCCAGCAAACGAAUUCACCAGGUUAAUGUGAUCACAAGACCUGAGUUUUCAUCCUGGGUAAGAAGCAUGUUGAGAGUAUCUUUUUUUCUGGAAUUCUGGAAAUUAUUUAUUAGAAUGUGUUAGUGUAUCCAACAGUGAAAACUAAAAAAAAUAAAAUUAAAAAAUCUGAGGUUUUCUUAAAACUGAA
Long non-coding RNA from Panthera uncia (snow leopard), 3064 nucleotides. RefSeq lists it as uncharacterized. Lineage: Eukaryota; Metazoa; Chordata; Mammalia; Carnivora; Felidae. The transcript has 3 exons. The record is from RefSeq and is a predicted model, not a curated record.